RNAcentral lists this ribosomal RNA (256 nucleotides) under uncultured bacterium. Its description in RNAcentral is "partial 16S ribosomal RNA". It matches the Rfam family "Bacterial small subunit ribosomal RNA", at positions 524 to 776 of the family's 1533-position model. The record is from RNAcentral.
UACGUAGGGUGCAAGCGUUGUCCGGAAUUAUUGGGCGUAAAGAGCUCGUAGGCGGUUUGUCGCGUCUGCUGUGAAAACGCGAGGCUCAACCUCGCGCCUGCAGUGGGUACGGGCAGACUAGAGUGCGGUAGGGGGAGAUUGGAAUUCCUGGUGUAGCGGUGGAAUGCGCAGAUAUCAGGAGGAACACCGAUGGCGGAAGGCAGAUCUCUGGGCCGUAACUGACGCUGGAGGAGCGAAAGCGUGGGGAGCGAACAGG